CAGCCGCCGCGGGAAUACGUAGGGUGCGAGCGUUAAUCGGAAUUACUGGGCGUAAAGCGUGCGCAGGCGGUUGUGUAAGACAGGUGUGAAAUCCCCGGGCUUAACCUGGGAACUGCGCUUGUGACUGCACAGCUAGAGUAUGGCAGAGGGGGGUGGAAUUCCACGUGUAGCAGUGAAAUGCGUAGAGAUGUGGAGGAACACCGAUGGCGAAGGCAGCCCCCUGGGCCAAUACUGACGCUCAUGCACGAAAGCGUGGGGAGCAAACAGGAUUAGAUACCCGUGUAGUCCCUGUCUCUUAUAU
Molecule: ribosomal RNA, 301 nt
Filed under: uncultured bacterium
Lineage: Bacteria
Description: partial 16S ribosomal RNA
Rfam family: Bacterial small subunit ribosomal RNA
Source: RNAcentral